RNAcentral lists this ribosomal RNA (254 nucleotides) under uncultured bacterium. Its description in RNAcentral is "partial 16S ribosomal RNA". It matches the Rfam family "Bacterial small subunit ribosomal RNA", at positions 524 to 776 of the family's 1533-position model. The record is from RNAcentral.
UACGGGGGGAGCAAGCGUUGUUCGGAUUUACUGGGCGUAAAGGGCGCGUAGGCGGCUACUGCCAGUCAGUUGUGAAAUCUCCGGGCUUAACCCGGAAAGGUCAACUGAUACUGCAGGGCUAGAGUGCAGAAGGGGCAACUGGAAUUCUCGGUGUAGCGGUGAAAUGCGUAGAUAUCGAGAGGAACACCUGCGGCGAAGGCGGGUUGCUGGGCUGACACUGACGCUGAGGCGCGAAAGCCAGGGGAGCGAACGGG